Molecule: ribosomal RNA, 796 nt
Filed under: uncultured bacterium
Lineage: Bacteria
Description: bacterial SSU rRNA
Rfam family: Bacterial small subunit ribosomal RNA
Source: RNAcentral
AGAGUUUGAUCCUGGCUCAGGAUGAACGCUGGCGGCGUGCUUAACACAUGCAAGUCGAGCGAAGCACUUUUUUAGAACUCUUCGGAGGGAAGAGAGGGUGACUUAGCGGCGGACGGGUGAGUAACGCGUGGGCAACCUGCCUUACACAGGGGGAUAACAAUUAGAAAUGAUUGCUAAUACCGCAUAAGACCACAGCAUUGCAUGAUGCAGUGGUAAAAACUGAGGUGGUGUAAGAUGGGCCCGCGUCUGAUUAGGUAGUUGGUGGGGUAGAAGCCUACCAAGCCGACGAUCAGUAGCCGACCUGAGAGGGCGACCGGCCACAUUGGGACUGAGACACGGCCCAAACUCCUACGGGAGGCAGCAGUGGGGAAUAUUGCACAAUGGGGGAAACCCUGAUGCAGCGACGCCGCGUGAGUGAGGAAGUAUUUCGGUAUGUAAAGCUCUAUCAGCAGGGAAGAAAAUGACGGUACCUGACUAAGAAGCCCCGGCUAACUACGUGCCAGCAGCCGCGGUAAUACGUAGGGGGCAAGCGUUAUCCGGAUUUACUGGGUGUAAAGGGAGCGUAGACGGAAUUGCAAGUCUGAUGUGAAAAUCCGGGGCCCAACCCCGGAACUGCAUUGGAAACUGUAUUUCCAGAGUGUCGGAGAGGCAAGUGGAAUUCCUGGUGUAGCGGUGAAAUGCGUAGAUAUCAGGAGGAACACCAGUGGCGAAGGCGGCUUGCUGGACGAUGACUGACGUUGAGGCUCGAAAGCGUGGGGAGCAAACAGGAUUAGAUACCCUGGUAGUCCACGCCGUA